UUUCAUAGGAAAAUUGUUCUCAAAGAAUGUGACAUCUCUGGACUCCAUGAUUGUAUCAACAUGCAUGUCUGAUACUCCAGAUUUAAUUAUUAAGAAUCUAUAUCCGAUACUAUGAAAAGCAUAGCCUAGAAAGAUAUCUUGCCUUGGCAGACCAGGGCCAGGUAUUCUCCAUAAUGCUAUAUGCAUAGAGUUAGUUCUGAUCAUGUGUUUGUAUGACCUUUGCUAGUAUAUAUAGAUGCCAUUAGGUCCUCUUGUAUGCCUUGCUCCCACUAACCUAGGGCGUAUUCUUUUAUUCUUUAUUCUUGAGAUUGGCUUACAUGUGUGUCACAUUACCCUCCAUUAUUUAUCAUGGCUUACCCCUGUAUGAAGUUUGGUGCAUUACUUAAGCUUAUGAUCCUGGAUAUGUAUCUAAUAAAUCCUUUUACACCAAUGCCAUCCUUUGGGAAAAUAUAAAUAAUGAUACCCUGAAUACUCUCCGGGUGAAAUGCUACAAUGGUAUAUCCAUGCGCUUGCGGAUUUAUUCAUAAUGUUAAGAAAUACCAACAAGCAUUCCUACACCGUUGCUAGGGAUGGCACUGGUUAAGAGAUUUAUCACUACAUGUUCUUUGUUGUAUGAUUAAGGAAUAGUCAUUGCUUAUACAGGCUAACUUGUCUUUGUUUUCUCCUAAUGGAUGAAAACAAGGUAGUGUAUGACCGGUUUUGUCUUGCCGACCAACUUCGUUUAGAAUCCGGAGACUCUUGUGAGAAGAGUUCGACAUCGUGUUGUCCCUCCUUAGAUCGCUCUUUCGACAACCAAACUAGUCAUCCCAGCACCAUCCAUUCCUAAGGCUAUGGCUGAAAAGACUCUUUGUGAGUUCUCCAUCCCCUCC
RNAcentral lists this long non-coding RNA (869 nucleotides) under Setaria viridis. Its description in RNAcentral is "long non-coding RNA (SVIR_LNC006810)". Lineage: Eukaryota; Viridiplantae; Streptophyta; Magnoliopsida; Poales; Poaceae. The record is from RNAcentral.